UGGGGAAUUUUGGACAAUGGGCGAAAGCCUGAUCCAGCAAUGCCGCGUGUGUGAAGAAGGCCUUCGGGUUGUAAAGCACUUUUGUCCGGAAAGAAAUCCUUGGCUCUAAUACAGUCGGGGGAUGACGGUACCGGAAGAAUAAGCACCGGCUAACUACGUGCCAGCAGCCGCGGUAAUACGUAGGGUGCAAGCGUUAAUCGGAAUUACUGGGCGUAAAGCGUGCGCAGGCGGUUUGCUAAGACCGAUGUGAAAUCCCCGGGCUCAACCUGGGAACUGCAUUGGUGACUGGCAGGCUAGAGUAUGGCAGAGGGGGGUAGAAUUCCACGUGUAGCAGUGAAAUGCGUAGAGAUGUGGAGGAAUACCGAUGGCGAAGGCAGCCCUCUGGGCCAAUACUGACGCUCAUGCACGAAAGCGUGGGGAGCAAACAGGAUUAGAUACCCUGGUAGUCCACGCCCUAAAACGAUGUCAACUAGUUGUUGGGGAUUCAUUUCCUUAGUAACGUAGCUAACGCGUGAAGUUGACCGCCUGGGGAGUACGGUCGCAAGAUUAAAACUUAAAUGAAUUGACGGGGUCAUAGCUGUUUCCU
RNAcentral lists this ribosomal RNA (586 nucleotides) under uncultured bacterium. RNAcentral describes it as "partial 16S ribosomal RNA". It matches the Rfam family "Bacterial small subunit ribosomal RNA", at positions 355 to 1375 of the family's 1533-position model. The record is from RNAcentral.